UCGGGAAUAUUGCGCAAUGGAGGAAACUCUGACGCAGUGACGCCGCGUAUAGGAAGAAGGUUUUCGGAUUGUAAACUAUUGUCGUGAGGGAAGAAAUUGACAGUACCUCAGGAGGAAGCUCCGGCUAACUAUGUGCCAGCAGCCGCGGUAAUACAUAGGGAGCAAGCGUUAUCCGGAUUUAUUGGGUGUAAAGGGUGCGUAGACGGGAAAUUUAAGUUAGUUGUGAAAUCCCCUCGGCUUAACUGAGGAACUGCAACUAAAACUGGUUUUCUUGAGUACUGGAGAGGAAAGUGGAAUUCCUAGUGUAGCGGUGAAAUGCGUAGAUAUUAGGAGGAACACCAGUGGCGAAGGCGACUUUCUGGACAGUAACUGACGUUGAGGCACGAAAGUGUGGGGAGCAAACAGGAUUAGAUACCC
This 417-nucleotide ribosomal RNA is filed under the name uncultured bacterium. RNAcentral describes it as "bacterial SSU rRNA". It matches the Rfam family "Bacterial small subunit ribosomal RNA", at positions 355 to 787 of the family's 1533-position model. The record is from RNAcentral.